GCAGAGACGGGACUUCCGGUGGCUGGUGUAACGUAAAGAUGGACACAAUGUUACGAAAAUGAUUUCUACUAUUACUUCUACUAUAAAUACCGAAAAUCCAUUAUUAUUAUUAUUAUUAUUAUUAUUAUUAUUAUUAUUAUUAUUAUUAUUAUUAUUAUUAUUAUUAUUAUUAUUAUUAUACUGACUAGACAUUAGACUUUUUAAAGUCAAACAUUAAUACAUAACAUUUCCCUUUAGCGCACCUGAACGUUAACUUGGCCUUUACUCUGAAUAUGCCGAAACCCCUCCAUCUGUAAUGUAGCUAAUGCGGCUAAUGAGAAAUUGAACAAAGAACGGAAAUGCUGUGGAGUGGGAUUAGGUGUCACUUUGUCCCUGUCGUUGGCUGCCGAACUGUGAAUGGUUCAUUGUUUAUUUCUAGGAUUUGGCAAAAGAAAGACUAAGUGAGGAGCUGGUUCCACUGUAGUUGUGACGCCACGUCACAGUCCCACAUCUAUAUAUGGAAAUGUGUCGGAUGUGGAGGUUUGUGUGGAGGCUUUGUUGUCUGUUCGACAGGUCUCAUGGUACUUUAACAACAUGUCUGGGCAUUUCCACACAUGUCUGCAGCUGUAACAUGCACUAUAAGCUGUCUGUUAUUAAAGCCUCUUCUCUGUUGCAUUGUUGACUUAGAGGACUCGCAGAAUAGAAGAGAGUUGACUGUGACCACAUGCCCAUUUUACCAGCAGCCCUAUUAGUGCUGUACCCUUCAUUGCAGUAAAGUGAACAAUAACCCUCUGACAACUAGAGGCAAUUACCAGCUUUGUUCUGGUAAUUCUUGUUUUCAGUUGGAUGCUGUCUGUUGGAGCUUAUUGUCAGGGUUCAGACACUGCUUAGUCUUUUCCAUGUCCACUGAGCCUCUGCUCGCUGUUCUGUGAUCUUCAUAAUAGUGGGUUCCACGAAGAAGAGCUCCACACCCACCUUUUUCACCAGUGUUUUGGUGGAUCACAUCGGGUUUCAUGGUCAGAUGGUAAAGUAAUAUUACUAACACACUGAAGUUGUGUGGUAGCUGAUAAUAAUUAUGAUUUGACACUGCUGUUUAUUUAUGUUUAUUAUCUAUCCAUCGAUCCAUCCAUGCAUCCAUCUAUCAAUCCAUUCAUCCAUCCAUUCAUCCAUCUAUCUACCCAUUCAUCCAUCCAUUCAUCAUGUCUACAUGCAUAGAUUCUCCUUUUCUGUCCUCUUGUACUUGUUGUGUUCCAUACUGUUAUGACUGCUCAUGUUUUAUACUGUUUUCUGGCUUGAAUUAAAGUUAACAAUGACGUGAUAAUACAAGAUAUGCAUUUUACUGUGCAUUAAUAUAAAACAGUGUCCUACUAAAACUGUGAAUUUGCAAAACUGUAGGCAGUACUGAAGGUAAGACCAAAACCAUGCAUGUUCCUUUUUCUGCACAUUCUUGGUUGACCUAAUUCAUUCCCAGGCUCCACAGAGUCAGCCAGAGUUUUUGUUCCCAAGCUCUGGUUGAACGCACACAUACAGGGAAGUUAGAAGAGAAAAAUUUAAUACUACAAUUUGGUGCACAAAGGUUCUCUUCUGAAAUAAAAUACUUCUUUAUCUUCGAUAAAACAAUCAAGCUUUAAAAAUAAGAACAUGCUGUAAUGCUUGUGUUGUUUUUUUGUCGUUCUGUGAGUUGCAGCCCUGGUGGAAGAAUGAGCUUCUUUGAGACAUACAGUAAUGUGUUUUGUUGGUGCAAAGGUGUUAUUAAUGUAGCAUUGCUUGUAAGCAAUGGAACAAACUGUCAUGCACAUACAGAUGAAGGGUUUUCCACUGUGCUUUAUACAGGAGGUCAUGAGUCCAAGUGCAUUUUAGCAAAAUAAGUUCAAUUGGAUUUAUGAAUUAUGAAAACAAGCAGAAGCUGACAUACUUCUGUAAUGUUAGUAUAUCACUAAUCAUUUGUAUUCAAACUAUAUCUAAUAUAUUUUGGUUUUGUUUUAAAAUUUCACUGCAUUACUAUUACUAUUAUUACUGCAUUAAGCCUACUGGUUUGUCAUGUAAUUCUUCAUACUAGCCGCUAGAGGGAAGCAGUAUGUCAUUUAUUAUAUUAAUAGCCAUGCAGUGGGUUGCUUGCACUAGUGAGACGAACUAAAGUGGGAAUACAUUUAGAAGGAGUGAUGUCAUCACUAACAUGUACGAUAUCUUAUAAUAUGUAAAGCACAACAUCACAGCUAGAAGCAGGUGGGUGAUGCAGGAGCCUCUGUGCAUGUUGUCUCUGUGCAUGUGUGGGUUCUCUCUGGCUUUGAGAAGCAAAAUGCACCUCAAAAUGGCUAAAGGAUCCUCACACAUACACAGGCUGUACAAUGUUGUUGUCCUUCUGGCCUCUAGGCUUCACCAGUGAUCUGUGUUUACACACCAAUCGCACAGAGAUGUUUUUCUCCAGUCAGGCAGGUGCCCCCUCGCUAAGUCUUCCAGGCUGUUGGCGGCCAAUGACUAUGAGCUGAGGCGUAACACAGACGUGGGUAAACACAGGAAUCUCAUGCAGACGCACAGAGGAGUGUGAGAAAGAUGAGCCGGUUCACGUGUCGUGCCGAAGGUCAAAGCGACCGAUUGUUAGCGGUGAGAAGGAAAGUUUGCAGUGCACCACCAACAACAGGGCAGAGAGGAUGUGGAGUCAUUAGUCUCAAGCUUUUGCCUUCUGCUGAUGAAAGAUGGAGGGAGGGUGCGAGGUGACGGGGGGGUCAUGACGGAGGGAGAAAGGCUGCUGACGCCUCAUUUGAGCUUUUUAAACCCCUUUAGAAGAUAAAGUACCAAGACAAAAAAAUGAGUCUGCAAAACUGUUACUGUGAUUGUUUAUUGCUAAGUUCGAUAUGACAGAGGAAUCAUUUUUCUUCAAAUGGAAUCUGAUUUUUAAUCAUUAUAGAAUGUGUUAAUUAAACAUUGAAAUGCUUCAUGUUUAAAUUCCUUCAUAACCUUUUGUUGUGUUGCUGUUAUAGAUGUAACCUGUAUUUCAAAACGGUUCCUUUGUGUUGAUUCUUUUCUCAGGAACAACACAAUGUUACGCUGUAGGUCAACAUAACCGCUCAGCAAUGUGGAAACAACACCACCUGCGAUUCAGUCUAAUGAAGUCAAUGGUUGGCUCCAAGGGGAUUCUGGUGCACAGGUCAUGCUUGUGUUUACCUUUCUUUCACCUCGCUAAGCUGCCUUUUGGGGUCUAAUGCUGUCAGUUUAUUCUAAAUCCUACCUCAGAUUUGGGUUUCCUGCAACACCUUUUCCUGAUGGGGUACAGAACAUAACCUGCUUACGCAAAUAUGCUGGGGGGAGAACACACAAGGAGCCAAAGACUCGUGACCUUUCCGGGGUGUGACCUUCCUCUCGACCAGUGACAGCUGAACUCUAACACCAGCAUGACCCUAACAAGAACAAACACUUAGGAUGCUGGAUGGACGAUAAUAGAUGAAUCCAGAUGUUUGUUAUUAGAGACUACCUCCGUUUCCUAUCCAGACCUUUGUAUCGUCUACUUAGUGCUAUUUAUUCUCACAUUGCAAAGAAUCAGUUUAUGUAAUAACAGCUUUAUGUACAAUGUAUAAUUGGUUGUUAGGUGAAAGAUUUUCCACCACCUCUGUUCAUGUCCAUCUUCUGAAUUGCUGCCGUAUCACUGGUUGAUUGCCACUGAUGCAGGUCAGACCAGUCCUGUGAGGCCAGGGGAUGUGCUCAAAUAAAUACAGACAUUCUGGACCAACAAAAA
Betta splendens (Siamese fighting fish) is the source of this 3712-nucleotide long non-coding RNA. RefSeq lists it as uncharacterized. The transcript has 2 exons. The record is from RefSeq and is a predicted model, not a curated record. NCBI's taxonomy places the organism in Eukaryota, Metazoa, Chordata, Actinopteri, Anabantiformes, Osphronemidae.